Brassica napus (rape) is the source of this 4127-nucleotide RNA transcript. It is a transcript of the gene named alpha-galactosidase 3-like, with no coding region annotated. Lineage: Eukaryota; Viridiplantae; Streptophyta; Magnoliopsida; Brassicales; Brassicaceae. The record is from RefSeq and is a predicted model, not a curated record. The transcript is spliced from 6 exons.
ACAGGAAGCUAUAUCCAAGUAAGUGAUAUGAAGACGAACUUGUCUAAGGAGGAGAUUUGUUGGUUAUAGACAAGUCUUGCAUCGGUUUAGGUUCAAUUGCUUAGCUUAGAUUAGACUUGGUUUAGAAUGGUUUAAGCUUGUAAUUGAGAAUAAACCGGAUCUCUCUCUCUCUCUUUAGCUAGGAGAUACGCGUGUGUCAUGUACACGUGUUAAGGUUAACUAACUCGAGUUAUAAGAGGCUGUUAGCUGUAGUUAAGAGUUAAUAAGCAGAGCUGAUUAGGAGUUGUUAGAUCAGUUGAUGCGAGAUUAACAAGAGAGAGAGUCCGUGAGAUUGAGCUGUAGAGACGGUGACUCGAGUGUGAGAUCAUUCGUUGAAGAUAGUAGAUUGCUGGUUCAAUCCCAGCUCCGGUGAAGUAUAGCGGCCACACACCUAGUUAACGGUGGUGGUGCGGUGAACACUGGGUAAACAGAUCGACGGUGUGCUCCGUAGAAGAGAAGUUCUAAUCGGUUAAAGAUUGACGCGAUCUUCACACUUCCUAUUAUCAAACUUCAAAAGAAUUCUCAAAACCAAAUUGAUAAAACAAGAUCACGUUCUAAUCCUUUUCUAAGGGAGACGUUUCCAUUUUUUGUUUUUUAGCUAUUUUUGUUUUUUUUUUGUUAGUUUUAAUUCUUGGGCAAUUCUCUUAAAUAGAUCAUUUUCAAGUUUUGAUCACAAAAAUAGAUCACGAAGAAGAAAAUGACCAAAAUAUUUAAUUUAAUAGGUAAAAGGACCCUAAUACACUAGAUAUAUAAAAAUAAAAAAAAUAAUAAUAACAAAAAUAAAAAAAUAAAAAAAUAAUAAAAAAAUUAUAGUUUUCGAUUAUUGUUGUAAACUAAUGGGAGAAAGAGAUUCUAUAUUUCUCAUAAUUAUGAAGGCCUUUAUAUAUAUAGGGAAUUAAAGUAGACCGUCAUAGAUAAAUGGAAAGUAUACAAAUCCUAAAGUGAUUAGGAAAAGAAAAUCCUAAGCAUAUAAGGAAAAGGAAACUGUCUAAUUAGAAAGAAAAUAUGCCUAUUUGGUUAUGGCAUUCACAAAUCGGUUCAUAACACUCCUCCUUGAAUGUUAUAACCAUAAGAGUUCGUAAUACGCUUUGGAUGUUGCCUCAUUAAAACCUUUCCAAGAAAAUCCAGUGGGACAAAACCAUGGAUAAGGAAAAAGAGUACAACACGUAUUACAAAACCAUGGAAGAGUCAAAGCGCCCCCCUUGUUGCAGCAGAGCAAUACUAAUGGAUUGGUUUUCAGCAAAUCGUUCAAUUCCAUUUACGAUACUUCUAUGUACGGUCGAUUGCAGCUCAACAAUGGCCUCACUCGUACUCCUCAAAUGGGAUUAGUUUCUUAUUAGUUCGGGUUUUGAUAUGUAAAAAAAGGAACAACCUUUUUGUCUCUGUCGUGGUGUAAAGUUUAUAACUUUUGAGUGGUGUCUCUCUUAUUAGACUUUGUGUGUGUGUUUUGUUAUAAUCUGACAGAUGGAAUAGCUGGAACUUCUUUGCUUGCAAUAUCAAUGAAACUGUCAUUAAGGAAACUGCUAUUGCUUUGGUCUCCUCUGGCCUGGCUGAUUUUAGGAUACAUACAUGUCAAUAUUGAUGAUUGUUGGUCCAAUUUGUUACGUGAUUCAAAGGGACAAUUGGUUCCACAUCCUGAAACCUUCCCCCAAGGGAUUAAGCUUCUUGCUGAUUAUGUUCAUUCAAAGGGUCUCAAACUCGGUAUAUAUUCUGACGCUGGGUAGAUUCAAGCUUCAUGCACCUUUGGAGGUGGUUUUUACUAUGAAUCGAUGCUAACAAUGAUGUGAAAGUAAUGUUGGAAGUUGGAGGACGAUACUUAUAAAGAUGGUUGUUUGAAAAUGAUGUGAUAGUACAUGAUGAUGGAGGACACAUGCAAGGCCAAAAAGGUUGUGGUUUACCGGUGGUGUCAUUUUAUUACGAAAGUUAUUCAUAGCUUUUUUGCAUGCUUCCUGAUAUCACCAAGAGAAGUCAUUUUUGGUCUUAUGCAUUUGUAUAUUUUUUGUCUCAAACAAUCAAAAUGGAAAUAAUUUUAUUCAUAUAUCCGAGAUUUCUUUCUUAUGGAAAUGCAUUCAAGCAUUUGAAUAACGACAUCCGAGAUUUCUUUCUUAAUAAAACCUAAUAAAAGUUAAAAAUUUACUUCAUCACUACUCAUGUCCUUAUUCAUACGAAUAAGAAUAUUUUGUUGCUCGAACAAGAAAUUUACUUGACCUAGGUAUCUCAUAUGCUCUUAUAAAUAAAUUUUACAUACUCGACAUUCUAUAGAUCAUAUUUCGCCAAAGAUGUUACAAUCUCCACUCUCUAUCUUCUGUAUUAUUAUGUUAUCACUAGGUUAUACAAAUCGAGUAUGAAGGUUGAUUUUUAUCUUUGUCAAAACACAGUAUUCUUGAAGCAAUGGAAAGCAUGAAGAAAACAAUUUCUGAAAUUAUUGAAGCAAGGCUGGUAAAUAUUUUAUUUUUUUCAUUUUCCCAAUCGUUUUCAUUUUUUUUAUCAUACUAAUUCAAAUAUGAUUUCACUACAAUUUUAAUCAAAAUAGGCUGGAACGUGCGUGGUUGUUGCUAAAAUUGAAGCUAUUGAUUUGAAAAAACCAUGGUAUUACACUGCCUGCAAUUUUUGCAAAAGAAAAAUGGUCAGACAAGUAGAUGGUUUUGAGGGAAACGUGCAACAUCUUCAACAGAACCCUCUAUACAACUACAAAACAUGCAAAAAGGAUGUUCAACAUGCUAUUCAUUGGUAUGGCCUUUUAUAAACAUUAAUCUUGCUACCUUUCUAAUCUCAUAUUAUUAUAUGUUCUGAAACUAAUUAAAAUUGUUUAUUUUUUAGUUAUUACUUGGUUGUACGUAUCUCUGAUGAAUCAAAAGGAGAAGCCAAGUUUUUGCUUUUCAACAAUAUUGGAAAGAAGCUCAUUAGGAGACUUGCGUCUGAGUUAGUCCAAGAGGCUGCUCAGGUAUUUCCUUCAUUUCUAAUAUAUAUUAAAGAAUAUUUCAUUUCUAUAUAUUUUUGUAUAAUUAUUUAAAUUUUUUUACAGGAAAAUCAACAUUUUCUACCUCAAUCUCUAACUGAUUUAAUUGGGAGGAAACUUCUAUUUAAGAUCACUAUCGGAGAUUAUGGUCAAAAAGAACAAAAUUCAGCAUAUGUUGUUGAUUUAGUGAUUGAUGAUGCAGUCAUAAUUCAACACUUUGAUCCACAUCCACAUGUUGUGAUUUUUAAUGAUUAUGAGUCGGAAGAGGACUGAGUAUUUAAGCGGUUAUGGUAAUCCAAAAGAAAGGAAGAAAGUUGAAGUCCAUUAUGCACGUGAAAAUGGAAGAGUUUAAGAAAUGAUUUGUUUUCGUUUUCUUCAAAUUUCAUUAUUUUUUCCAUUGUCUCUGUUUUUGGUUUUAUAGUUAUGAGCAUGAAUUAUGAGCUGUUAUUUGAUUCUUUUUUUGUAAACAGCUCCUUUAAUCUAUUUUUGUUUCCACAUUAUAGCCAAUUUAUUCUUUAAAAUGUUAAAUUUGAAAACCAAUCACUAGAAAAUAGUAUAGAAUUAUAUAUCUAAGGUGUUCAAAUAAGGUUAACCUUAUAUGUUAAACUUCCAAAAAAUUCAUAAUAAAUCAUAAAACAAUGUAAAAGAAGAUAUUAUAGAAUUAUAUUGUCAUAAAGUGUUUUCCAAUAAAUAUCAUAUUUACUUGCGCAAGGAAUAGAUAGCAACAUGGUAAGAAUUUGAUAAGGAAAAUUUGUUUGGCAAGAAAGGAUUAUACGUAUAUUUUGAAGACAUUAAAAAAAACGUGCAGGUCAUGGAUCGAUCUCUAUUAUACUUUGACGAAGAUGUCGGUUUCUGAACUCUAAUCUUCACUUUAGCGUCUAAGCUUGGAUGUUCUGUUUUUUUUUAGGUGGUUUUUACUAUCAAUCCAUGCUAACAAUGUUGUGAAAGUAAUGUUGGAGUAUCAAUCUGUCAAUUUAAUAUUAUUUUCUGACUAUUUCGAUGACGGUAUGUCAAUUUAAUAUUAUUUUUUUUUCAAUAAAAUUUAGAAAUUUAGAAAUCUAUCAAAUAAUGUUAACCCGUCCAAUUGCUUACAAAAUUUAAGAAAUUUGUUUGCAGGUUUCUAAUGGAU